Molecule: ribosomal RNA, 506 nt
Filed under: uncultured bacterium
Lineage: Bacteria
Description: bacterial SSU rRNA
Rfam family: Bacterial small subunit ribosomal RNA
Source: RNAcentral
GAUGAACGCUAGCGAUAGGCCUAACACAUGCAAGUCGAGGGGCAGCACAUGAAGUAGCAAUACAGAUGGUGGCGACCGGCGCACGGGUGAGUAACACGUAUGCAACCUACCUUCCACAGGAGAAUAACCCGUUGAAAAACGGACUAAUACUCCAUAAUACAGGGGUCCCGCAUGGGAAUAUUUGUUAAAGAUUUUUUUCGGUAGAAGAUGGGCAUGCGUUCCAUUAGCUAGUUGGUUGAGGUAACGGCUCACCAAGGCAACGAUGGAUAGGGGAACUGAGAGGUUUAUCCCCCACACUGGUACUGAGACACGGACCAGACUCCUACGGGAGGCAGCAGUGAGGAAUAUUGGUCAAUGGAGGCAACUCUGAACCAGCCACGUCGCGUGAAGGAUGACGGCCCUACGGGUUGUAAACUUCUUUUAUACAGGAAUAAAGUGAGUCACGUGUGACUUUUUGUCAUGUACUGUAUGAAUAAGGAUCGGCUAACUCCGUGCCAGCAGCCGAC